Long non-coding RNA from Bubalus bubalis (water buffalo), 708 nucleotides. RefSeq lists it as uncharacterized. Lineage: Eukaryota; Metazoa; Chordata; Mammalia; Artiodactyla; Bovidae. The transcript is spliced from 2 exons. The record is from RefSeq and is a predicted model, not a curated record.
AUGAAAUAAAGCACUUGGAGACUAUUAAGCUCACUACCAGAUGGGAGAUUUAAGGCCCAAAGAAGUGAAGGCACCAGUCCAUGGUCACACAGCAUGUCUGUAGAAGAGGUGGGAACUGAAUUCGCGUUUCCUGGGUCCCAGGCCUGGCCUCCACACGAUGCCUGGGAGGGGUUGUGCAGACCAGUGAGAGAUCUCAAGUCAGCCCCAGGGGGAAUUAGAGAGAGGACCAAGUGAGAGGUCCAUUUCUAGCCCUAACAAAAGGUGACUCAUUCACUUCUGCGUUUGGUUAUUUCAGCACUUUCUCCCCAGAUUUAUAAUAAUAAAUUUAAUAACUCAGAUGAAAUGGAAAAAUAUCUUGGAAGACACCAACUACCAAAGCUUCACUCAGGAAGAAAUAGAUAACAAGAAUAGCCCUGUAUCUGUUAAACAAAUUGAAUUCAUAAUUGAAAACCUUCCAACAAAGGAAACUCCAGGCUCGAAUGGCUUCACUGGUGAAUUCUAAUACCAAGUCAUUUAAGGAAGAAAUAAUACCAAUUCUACACAAACUCUUAGAGAAACUAAAGAAGAGGAAACACUUCCCAAUUAUUUUAUAAGGCCAGAACUCCCUGGUCCUAAAAGCAGACAAAGACAUCCACCUAAAAAAAAAAGCUAUAGUUCAAUAUUCCUUAUGAAUAUAAAUACAAACAGUGUCAGUGAAAUAUUAUCAAA